AGAGAAAUUUUGCCGAAUGUCCUUUUGGACAACGGGGGAUUAUCCUUUGGGGUGAAUCCAAUUAUUUGGUAGGGACACUCUCUUCCCGAACCCGUCAACUAACCUCGUAGGCAUAGAGAGGUGAUAC
RNAcentral lists this small RNA (127 nucleotides) under Caloramator australicus. Its description in RNAcentral is "c-di-AMP sequence". It matches the Rfam family "c-di-AMP riboswitch aptamer (ydaO/yuaA leader)". From Rfam's summary of the family: This family represents a conserved RNA structure found upstream of the ydaO and yuaA genes in Bacillus subtilis and related genes in other bacteria. The ydaO/yuaA element is thought to act as a genetic "off" switch for the ydaO and yuaA genes in its native state. The record is from RNAcentral. Lineage: Bacteria; Bacillati; Bacillota; Clostridia; Eubacteriales; Clostridiaceae.